RNAcentral lists this ribosomal RNA (746 nucleotides) under Gadimyxa atlantica. RNAcentral's name for it is "bacterial SSU rRNA". It matches the Rfam family "Eukaryotic small subunit ribosomal RNA", at positions 355 to 1072 of the family's 1831-position model. The record is from RNAcentral. Lineage: Eukaryota; Metazoa; Cnidaria; Myxozoa; Bivalvulida; Parvicapsulidae.
ACGGGUACGGGGAUCAGGUUCGAUUCCGGAGAGGGAGCCUGAGAAACGGCUACCACUUCCAAGGAAGGCAGCAGGCGCGCAAAUUACCCAAUCCAGACAUUGGGAGGUAGUAACGAGAAAUAUCAAGGUAAGCCAAUUGGUUUACUAUUGAAAUGAACGUAAUGUAAAUACUUUGAUGAGUAACAACUGGAGGGCAAGUCUGGUGCCAGCAGCCGCGGUAAUUCCAGCUCCAGUAGUGUAUUUCAAAAUUGUUGCGUUUAAAACGCUCGUAGUCAGAUGACAAAAAUGAUUUAUAUUUGUGUUUUUUAAAAUAUUUAGUGUAAAUUAUUUUUUAUUUGCAAGAACUAAUCGUGAACUUUUAUGUUUAGGGUUAGUCACUUGCAAGGCGUGCCUUGAAUAAAGCAAAGUGCUCAAAGCAAGCGUAACGCUAGAAUGUAAUAGCAUGGAACGAACAGUGUUGAUUCUGAUUUAGUUAGUUGGUUUAAUUGUGCAAAUUGUUAUAAUUUACAUUAUUUUAAUAAUGUACUAAAUCGGGUCCUGGUUAAAAGGGACACUUGAGGAUGUUAGUAUUUAGUGGCGAGAGGUGAAAUUCUUAGACCCACUAAGGACUUACUAUUGCGAAAGCAUUCAUCAAGAGUGUUUUCAUUGAUCAAGAACGAAAGUUGGAGUUUCGAAGACGAUCAGAUACCGUCCUAGUUCCAUACAGUAAACUAUGCCAACACGGGAUCAGUUCGAAGCUGUAUUCA